This 952-nucleotide ribosomal RNA is filed under the name uncultured Methanobrevibacter sp. RNAcentral describes it as "bacterial SSU rRNA". It matches the Rfam family "Archaeal small subunit ribosomal RNA", at positions 45 to 999 of the family's 1478-position model. Lineage: Archaea; Methanobacteriati; Methanobacteriota; Methanobacteria; Methanobacteriales; Methanobacteriaceae. The record is from RNAcentral.
UAAGCCAUGCGAGUCGAACGAGUUUAGGCUCGUGGCGUACGGCUCAGUAACACGUGGAUAACCUACCCUUAGGACCGGGAUAACCCUGGGAAACUGGGGAUAAUACUGGAUAGGCAAUUUUUCCUGUAAUGGUUUUUUGUUUAAAUGUUUUUUCGCCUAAGGAUGGGUCUGCGGCCGAUUAGGUAGUUGGUUAGGUAAUGGCUUACCAAGCCGUUGAUCGGUACGGGUUGUGAGAGCAAGAGCCCGGAGAUGGAACCUGAGACAAGGUUCCAGGCCCUACGGGGUGCAGCAGGCGCGAAACCUCCGCAAUGUGAGAAAUCGCGACGGGGGGAUCCCAAGUGCCAUUCUUAACGGGAUGGCUUUUCAUUAGUGUAAAGAGCUUUUGGAAUAAGGGCUGGGCAAGACCGGUGCCAGCCGCCGCGGUAACACCGGCAGCUCUAGUGGUAGCAGUUUUUAUUGGGCCUAAAGCGUCCGUAGCCGGUUUAAUAAGUCUCUGGUGAAAUCCUGUAGCUUAACUGUGGGAAUUGCUGGAGAUACUAUUAGACUUGAGACCGGGAGAGGUUAGAGGUACUCCCAGGGUAGAGGUGAAAUUCUGUAAUCCUGGGAGGACCGCCUGUUGCGAAGGCGUCUAACUGGAACGGUUCUGACGGUGAGGGACGAAAGUUAGGGGCGCGAACCGGAUUAGAUACCCGGGUAGUCCUAACUGUAAACGAUGCGGACUUGGUGUUGGGGUGGCUUUGAGCUGUUCCAGUGCCGAAGGGAAGCUGUUAAGUCCGCCGCCUGGGAAGUACGGUCGCAAGACUGAAACUUAAAGGAAUUGGCGGGGGAGCACCACAACGCGUGGAGCCUGCGGUUUAAUUGGAUUCAACGCCGGACAUCUCACCAGAGGCGACAGCUGUAUGAUAGCCAGGCUGAUGACUUUGCUUGACUAGCUGAGAGGUGGUGCAUGGCC